GGUUAAGUUAGAAAGGGCGCACGGUGAAUGCCUUGGCACUAGGAGCCGAUGAAGGACGGGACUAACACCGAUAUGCUUCGGGGAGCUGUAAGUAAGCUUUGAUCCGGAGAUUUCCGAAUGGGGAAACCCACUGCUCGUAAUGGAGCAGUAUCAUUACCUGAAUCCAUAGGGUAAUGAGGGCACACCCGGGGAACUGAAACAUCUAAGUACCCGGAGGAAGAGAAAGCAAAUGCGAUUCCCUGAGUAGCGGCGAGCGAAACGGGAACAGCCCAAACCGAAAGGCUUGCCUUUCGGGGUUGUAGGACACUCAAUAUGGAGUUACAAAGGAACGGGGUAGAUGAAGCGGUCUGGAAAGGCCUGCCGUAGAAGGUAAAAGCCCUGUAGUCGAAACUUCGUUCCCUCCUGAGUGGAUCCUGAGUACGGCCGGACACGUGAAAUCUGGUCGGAAGCAGGGAGGACCAUCUCCCAAGGCUAAAUACUCCCUAGUGACCGAUAGUGAACCAGUACCGUGAGGGAAAGGUGAAAAGCACCCCGGGAGGGGAGUGAAAGAGAACCUGAAACCGUGUGCCUACAAGUAGUCAGAGCCCGUUUAUGGGUGAUGGCGUGCCUUUUGUAGAAUGAACCGGCGAGUUACGAUUACAUGCGAGGUUAAGUUGAAGAGACGGAGCCGUAGCGAAAGCGAGUCUGAAUAGGGCGAAUGAGUAUGUAGUCGUAGACCCGAAACCAGGUGAUCUACCCAUGUCCAGGGUGAAGUCCAGGUAACACUGGAUGGAGGCCCGAACCCACGCACGUUGAAAAGUGCGGGGAUGAGGUGUGGGUAGCGGAGAAAUUCCAAUCGAACUUGGAGAUAGCUGGUUCUCUCCGAAAUAGCUUUAGGGCUAGCCUCACGUAGUAAGAGUCUUGGAGGUAGAGCACUGUUUGGACUAGGGGCCCUCAUCGGGUUACCGAAUUCAGAUAAACUCCGAAUGCCAAUGACUUAUCCGUGGGAGUCAGACUAUGAGUGAUAAGAUCCAUGGUCAAAAGGGAAACAGCCCAGACCACCAGCUAAGGUCCCAAAGUAUACGUUAAGUGGAAAAGGAUGUGGAGUUGCUUAGACAACCAGGAUGUUGGCUUAGAAGCAGCCACCAUUUAAAGAGUGCGUAAUAGCUCACUGGUCGAGUGACUCUGCGCCGAAAAUGUACCGGGGCUAAACGUAUCACCGAAGCUGUGGGUGGACACCUUCUGGUGUCCGCGGUAGGAGAGCGUUCUAAGGGCGUUGAAGCUAGACCGUAAGGACUGGUGGAGCGCUUAGAAGUGAGAAUGCCGGUAUGAGUAGCGAAAGAUGAGUGAGAAUCUCAUCCACCGUAUGCCUAAGGUUUCCUGAGGAAGGCUCGUCCGCUCAGGGUUAGUCGGGACCUAAGCCGAGGCCGAAAGGCGUAGGCGAUGGACAACAGGUUGAUAUUCCUGUACCACCUCUUUAUCGUUUGAGUGAUGGGGGGACGCAGGAGGAUAGGGUAAGCGCGCUGCUGGUUAUGCGCGUGUAAGCAGUUAGGCUGGCAAAUAGGAAAAUCCGUUUGCCAUUAAGGCUGAGCUGUGAUGCCGAGGGAAUUUGAGUACCGAAGUUCCUGAUUCCACACUGCCAAGAAAAGCCUCUAGCGAGAUAAAAGGUGCCCGUACCGCAAACCGACACAGGUAGGCGAGGAGAGAAUCCUAAGGUGAGCGAGAGAACUCUCGUUAAGGAACUCGGCAAAAUGACCCCGUAACUUCGGGAGAAGGGGUGCUCAUUAGGGUGCAUAGCCUUGAUGAGCCGCAGUGAAUAGGCCCAGGCGACUGUUUAGCAAAAACACAGGUCUCUGCGAAGCCGCAAGGCGAAGUAUAGGGGCUGACGCCUGCCCGGUGCUGGAAGGUUAAGAGGAAGGGUUAGCUCACGCGAAGCUCUGAAUCGAAGCCCCAGUAAACGGCGGCCGUAACUAUAACGGUCCUAAGGUAGCGAAAUUCCUUGUCGGGUAAGUUCCGACCCGCACGAAAGGCGUAACGAUCUGGGCACUGUCUCAACGAGAGACUCGGUGAAAUUAUAGUACCUGUGAAGAUGCAGGUUACCCGCGACAGGACGGAAAGACCCCGUGGAGCUUUACUGCAGCCUGAUAUUGAAUUUUGGUACAGCUUGUACAGGAUAGGUAGGAGCCGUGGAAGCCGGAGCGCCAGCUUCGGUGGAGGCGUCGGUGGGAUACUACCCUGGCUGUAUUGAAAUUCUAACCCGCACCCCUUAUCGGGGUGGGAGACAGUGUCAGGUGGGCAGUUUGACUGGGGCGGUCGCCUCCUAAAGAGUAACGGAGGCGCCCAAAGGUUCCCUCAGAAUGGUUGGAAAUCAUUCGCAGAGUGUAAAGGCACAAGGGAGCUUGACUGCGAGACCUACAAGUCGAGCAGGGACGAAAGUCGGGCUUAGUGAUCCGGUGGUUCCGCAUGGAAGGGCCAUCGCUCAACGGAUAAAAGCUACCCCGGGGAUAACAGGCUUAUCUCCCCCAAGAGUCCACAUCGACGGGGAGGUUUGGCACCUCGAUGUCGGCUCAUCGCAUCCUGGGGCUGUAGUCGGUCCCAAGGGUUGGGCUGUUCGCCCAUUAAAGCGGUACGCGAGCUGGGUUCAGAACGUCGUGAGACAGUUCGGUCCCUAUCCGUCGUGGGCGUAGGAAAUUUGAGAGGAGCUGUCCUUAGUACGAGAGGACCGGGAUGGACGCACCGCUGGUGUACCAGUUGUCUUGCCAAAGGCACCGCUGGGUAGCUAUGUGCGGAAGGGAUAAGUGCUGAAAGCAUCUAAGCAUGAAGCCCCCCUCAAGAUGAGAUUUCCCAUAGCCUUAAGCUAGUAAGAUCCCUGAAAGAUGAUCAGGUUGAUAGGUCAGAGGUGGAAGCACGGUGACGUGUGGAGCUGACUGAUACUAAUCGAUCGAGGACUUAACCAA
Molecule: non-coding RNA, 2936 nt
Organism: Bacillus sp. X1(2014)
Lineage: Bacteria; Bacillati; Bacillota; Bacilli; Caryophanales; Bacillaceae
Source: Rfam